Molecule: ribosomal RNA, 463 nt
Filed under: uncultured bacterium
Lineage: Bacteria
Description: partial 16S ribosomal RNA
Rfam family: Bacterial small subunit ribosomal RNA
Source: RNAcentral
GAUGAACGCUGACAGAAUGCUUAACACAUGCAAGUCGAUGGGGAAGUGGUGCUUGCACCAUGGUAACCAUGGCGGACGGGUGAGUAACGCGUAAGGAACUUGCCUGCGGGACUGGGAUAACAGCAGGAAACUGCUGAUAAUACCGGAUAAGGUCAUUAAGCUGCAUAGCUUAGUGAUGAAAGGAGACGCCUGCGGAGAGCCUUGCGUCCUAUUAGCUAGUUGGAGGGGUAACGGCCCACCAAGGCGAAGAUAGGUAGCCGGCCUGAGAGGGUGGACGGCCACAAGGGGACUGAGAUACGGCCCUUACUCCUACGGGAGGCAGCAGUGGGGAAUAUUGGACGAUGGGGGCAACCCUGAUCCAGCAAUUCUGUGUGCACGAAGACGGUUUUCGGAUUGUAAAGUGCUUUCAGCAGGGAAGAAGGAAGUGACGGUACCUGCAGAAGAAGCGACGGCUAAAUACGUG